ACGCACUUCGGUGCAAUGUACGAGUGGCGAACGGGUGAGUAACACGUGAGAAACCUGCCUCGGAGACCGGGACAACCAUUGGAAACGAUGGCUAAUACCGGAUGUCCUCAUUUGAUCGCAUGAUCUUUUGAGGAAAUGAUCCGUCGCUCCGGGAGGGUCUCGCGGCCUAUCAGCUUGUUGGUGAGGUAAUGGCUCACCAAGGCAUCGACGGGUAGCUGGUCUGAGAGGACGAUCAGCCACACUGGGACUGAGACGCGGCCCAGACUCCUACGGGAGGCAGCAGUAGGGAAUCUUGCACAAUGGGCGAAAGCCUGAUGCAGCGACGCCGCGUGGGGGAUGAAGGCCUUCGGGUUGUAAACCCCUUUCAGUAGGGACGAAAAUGACGGUACCUACAGAAGAAGCUCCGGCCAACUACGUGCCAGCAGCCGCGGUAACACGUAGGGAGCAAGCGUUGUCCGGAUUUAUUGGGCGUAAAGAGCUCGUAGGUGGUUCGGUAAGUCGGAUGUGAAAACUCAAGGCUCAACCUUGAGACGCCAUCCGAUACUGCUGUGACUUGAGUUCGGUAGAGGAGUGUGGAAUUCCUGGUGUAGCGGUGAAAUGCGCAGAUAUCAGGAGGAACACCGACAGCGAAGGCAGCACUCUGGGCCGAUACUGACACUGAGGAGCGAAAGCAUGGGGAGCAAACAGGAUUAGAUACCCUA
RNAcentral lists this ribosomal RNA (701 nucleotides) under uncultured bacterium. RNAcentral describes it as "bacterial SSU rRNA". It matches the Rfam family "Bacterial small subunit ribosomal RNA", at positions 73 to 789 of the family's 1533-position model. The record is from RNAcentral.